This is a non-coding RNA of Dermacentor andersoni, 379 nucleotides long. The record is from RefSeq and is a predicted model, not a curated record. NCBI's taxonomy places the organism in Eukaryota, Metazoa, Arthropoda, Arachnida, Ixodida, Ixodidae.
AAUGGAAGUCACUCGAGAGAGCGUACAAGAGAGUCCGGACGAAUAAUAAUAAAUCCGGCAGCGCGGCUGCCGAGUGCAGUUUUGAGGAAGACCUGCAGGACUUCAUGGAAAAACAGCACCAUGUGAGUCCUGUUGUGACGUACACACAGGGACAAAAAAUGGUGCCCGACGACAGGGAGAGGGAACUGCAGGCCCCAAAAGCAGUGGACAGCCCAACUGGCCAUGUGGAGCUGCCUAAACAAAAGAAGGACCGGCCCUUACUGCAGCUCCUGCAAAAGCUAGAUGAGAUAGAAAAAAAUAGGGCAACGCGACACAAGGAGAAGAUGGCCCUGCUGGAGCGCUUCGUGAGCGCAUAUGAAACAAAAAAAUAAACAGCUUG